GAGAAAGCUAUGGAGAGGAAGAACAUGAAUUGGAGCUAAGGUUCUCGAGGAGAAAUUCUAAUUAGGAAAUCAGUGUAGAAUCAAUGGAAUUGAGGUAGAAUGUAAAACCCUUUCUCUUUUGGUGUUUUAUUUCGUAUGCCUUUGAAUUGUUAGGUUUCUGCAAUUUAAUUGAAUAAAUAAACAUCUCUUAUUUAUGAUCAGACUUCUCCUAUUGAUAUAAAACAUGAUUAGGUAUCUCUUGUUAAAAUUUGAGAAUUUUCAUACACAAAUUCACCGUUGAAUAUUCCUUGUAAUUUUUAUUAUGAUUUCUGAAAUUCUGGACAGUUUCGUUUUGCUGUGAUUUUGAUGUUCUUAGGAAGUCUUAAUGAUGUUAAAAUGAUUUUAGGUUUUAACAAAAGUUGUAUAAAAUUGUCUUAUCUUUCAUUGGGCUUUGGAUUUUCUUAAUUUGACACUAAUAUGAAUUUAUGGUGAAUUGUUUGGUAAUAACAUGGAAUCUGCCCAGUUUUUAGGUUGUCAUUAUAAAUUCAACAUAUUUUGUUUGAACCGUUGGUUUACUGUGAACUUUUUAUAUGUUGUAUAUUAUUAAUUCAUGUAUGUCCUUGUAAAGUUUGAAGAUGAUCAGAUAAAGCUAUCACCACGGGGCAUAUAAUGUUAUGUGGCUGCAGUUAACUUGUUUGCAUAAAUGCUUGAAAGAAAUUCAUGUUGUUAAGACAUGAUUGCUUUUGAAAAUGAUUUAUAAAAGUAAAUGAGUUCAUGUUUUACCUUUAUAUGGAACAUGUUUUAUGCUAACGGAGGGUAAUGAUCCCCGAGAGUUAAAUGGGUAAUGAUCCCCGUGGGAACUUGUGUUUCCUGACCAUCGAUGGCGGGUGUCCGUGCCGGUAAACAAUAGGUGGAUGUAAGAACCAAGGUUUUCGUACCGUGAAUGAAACGGGUAAUGAUCCCCGAGAGCAGAUGGGUAUGAUCCCCAUAGGAACUUUUGUUCCUGACCAUCGAUGGAGGUUGUCCGUGCCGAUAAACGAUAGGUGGGUGUACGAACCAAGGUUUUCGUACCGUGAACUCAUGGUUUCUCUGUGACUAUAUUAAUACGUGAAAAGAUGUGUUGAAUCAUUGAUGAUUGACUUGUUGGAAAUUAUUUUGGUAUUGUAAACUCAUGGUUUCUCUGUGACGAUAUUAAUAUGUGAAUAGAUGAGUUGAAUCAUUGAUGAAUGACUUGUUAACAAUUAUUUUGGUAUUGUAAACUCAUAGUUUGUUGGUGAAAAUAUUGAUAACUCAUGGUUUAUUGGUGAAAAUAUUGAUACGUAACUCAUGUUUGAAACUUAAAAGGAUGGGUUGUUGGAAACAUUAUUGAUGAUGUUAAUUGGUGCAUUGAAUCCUAAAUGGAUGAUUUGUUGGCAAUAAUAUUGGUAUUGUGAACUCAUGAAUGAACAAAUAAAUUGGAUGAUUUGGUGAAAAUAAUAUUUGUGAGGUAAUGUUGGUGGUUGAAUAUAUUCGUUGAAGUUGCACUGUAUUUCUUAUUGUAUGUUAUUCCUUGAUAAAAUGAUUUUGUUUCCACAUCUUUAGAGAAUAGGGGUACAUUCUAUUGAGCUGUCAUCUCGCCCCAAUUGACAUCCUUGCGGAUUUAUCAGAGUGGCGCAGUGAAAGCUAAGAAUGAGUAGCUCAGUGAUUGAAUUAUUUUAUUGUAUUUCUUGAAAUGUAAUUUGAAAUAAUAUGUUUGGUUGAAAAUGUUCUUAAAGAUAAUUGGUGGAUUUAUAUGCUUCAACUCAUGUUAUAUAAAGUUUCAACUAUGUUUUGUGUAAAAGAAGAUUAGCAAAAAAAAAAGUCUCUUUCCAACCCGUAAAGCUUCGAGUUCAGAUCUCCAUACGGGUUUGAACCUGGUCCGGAACUCAGGGUGUUACAUUAGUUAUGGGUAUAAUAAGAGAACAUGUUUCAGUUCUUUUUGCUGAGUGCUAUGAAGUGUUGCGAGAAGUCAUCAAUUGUGUUCAGUUGACGAGAAUUGAUUCUUAUAUAGUUAAAGUGGAAAGACUUAUAGAACGGAUUCAAAAUCUCUUAUCUGAGAAUUUUGGAGCUAUUGGACAUCAUCGGAAGGUUACACAUAAAUGUUGUGUGGGAAUAUACCUCGUCGAUUAUCUUUCCCAUGUCGCAGAGCAGCAGGUAAAGGAUUAUUGCGAAGAAUACAUAGAGGAAUGACCAUACCUCUAGAUACUUUUAUCCUAGAUACAUCGAAGGACCCUCUACACAAAAGUGAGCAUGAAAACUUCUGUUGAGCUUGCUGAGGAGGGAGCAAAGAGAAAUAGGAAAGAAAGGUACAGAAAUAAUGAGCAAAUAUUAAAGAACAGAAAGUCCCCUCAGGGCCUCAGAGGGAUGCAUACUUGGAAGAGUAGCAAAGAAAAUGAAGGGAAAAAAACUCGAGGAAAAGACAAAGUCGAAAAGAUCAACAAUCAGGGAAAACUAGAAAAGAACGCAACAUGAGAAUCAACCAUAGGAAGAGGCAAAAAAUAAUAGAGCAAAAACAACAAUAGGAAAAAGAGAAGUAAUCAUAAAGACAUGGGACGCUACACCCUAUCCAAGAGAGCGGUGAAUCCGAGGAAAGUACAGAGGGAAGCGAUAGUAAAAGGAGGAAACAUCCACGAAAAGUAUUAGAAUAAGAAAUGUCAGAAUUUAGUUGGUUGUGUUUUUUUAUUUGAUACAGUUAAGUGUAUGCUACGAGUCCCAAGUUAUUUUGUAUGUUCCUUGUUAAAAAUUGUUGCAUGCAUACUUGUCUUUCCUCCUUCAGUUUCUAUCCAUAUGUAUACUUGCUUCAUCA
Papaver somniferum (opium poppy) is the source of this 2803-nucleotide long non-coding RNA. RefSeq lists it as uncharacterized. NCBI's taxonomy places the organism in Eukaryota, Viridiplantae, Streptophyta, Magnoliopsida, Ranunculales, Papaveraceae. The transcript is spliced from 2 exons. The record is from RefSeq and is a predicted model, not a curated record.